RNAcentral lists this ribosomal RNA (1199 nucleotides) under Pseudomonas salomonii. RNAcentral describes it as "bacterial SSU rRNA". The stretch from base 1 to 920 matches the Rfam family "Bacterial small subunit ribosomal RNA". The record is from RNAcentral. Lineage: Bacteria; Pseudomonadati; Pseudomonadota; Gammaproteobacteria; Pseudomonadales; Pseudomonadaceae.
GGCAUGCGAAGCAUACCAUGCAGUCGUACGAGGUAGCGUAAUUGCUUCUCUUGUUAGCGGCGGACGGGUGAGUAACGCCUAGGAAUCUGCCUGGUGAUGGGGGAUAACCUUCGGAAACGGACUCUAAUACCGCAAACUUCCUACGGGACAAAUCGUGGGACCUUCGAGCCAUUCUCUAUCUGAUGAUCCUCUGUCGGAUUAUCUACUUGGUGAGGUAAUGGCUCACCAAGGCGACGAUCCGUAACUGGUCUGAGAGGAUGAUCAAUCACCCUGGAACUGAGACACAGUCCACACUCCUACCUACGGCAGCAGUGGGGAAUAUUGGACAAUGGGGGAAAGCCUGAUCCAUGCCAUGCCGCGUGUGUGAAGACGGUCUUCUGAUUGUAAAGCACUUUAAUUUGGGAGGAAGGGCAUUACCGAUACGUUAGUGUUUUGACCUUACCGACACAAUAAGCACCGGCUAACUCUGUGCCAUCAGCCGCGGUCAUACUCAGGGUGCAAUCGUUAAUCAGAAUUCCUGGGCGUAAAGCCCCCUUAGGUGGUUUGUUAAGUUGGAUGUGAAAUCGCCUGGCUUGACCUGGGAACUACAUUAAUGACUGACUGAAUAUAGUAUUUUAUGGGGUGGUGGAAUAUUGCGUGUAUAUCUGAAGUACCACCAUUGGCGAAGGAACAUCUCUGGGCCAUGCCUGCCCCUGAACAGAUACUGACUGUGAAGUGCACAAGCUUGGAUAGCAAAGUAGUCCACCCCCUAAACGUUGUCCACCCCGUAGUGGGAGGUCUACCAACGGUCUGCGAGCCUUGAGCUCUUACAUGGCGCUUCCCACCCUGGGGAAUUGACCCCCAAGGCUAAAAGUCACAGAAUUGACGUGACUGCAUUAACGGGGCACAUGCAGAUGAUUAGCAUGUGCUCUAAUUCCAUUACACGGAUAACUUACCCGGCCACGGCACCAAAUGACUUCCCAUUAAUAGAUGGUGCCUUCGGUAACAUUGUGACAGUAGCUCAUGCUUUCAUUAUUUGGUUACUCCAAUAUUAGCUCAAUCCCGUACCUGCUGCACCCUCUGUUCUUUAUUGCACCCUGGAAUGCUGGCGCGUCAAGCUCAGCAUGCAGUGACAUCCGAAGUGAGCGCGGAUGACACGUAGUCAUGGCUUCCUUCAUGCUCUAGGUCCACGACUACUGGACUAGGACGUCAGAAGGUUU